This is a non-coding RNA of Pteropus alecto (black flying fox), 123 nucleotides long. The record is from Rfam. Lineage: Eukaryota; Metazoa; Chordata; Mammalia; Chiroptera; Pteropodidae.
CAAACUCCAGUGGUAUUUUUAAAAGAAAUACAACAUGCAUGUUAGUCUUAAGUUCUGAUUGAGAUGACAUGCAUUUGUGCUGCCAUUUUGUACUAUCAAGACUUGACUGUUUGUGUGGACAGU